Molecule: transfer RNA, 44 nt
Filed under: Liriomyza trifolii (celery leafminer)
Lineage: Eukaryota; Metazoa; Arthropoda; Insecta; Diptera; Agromyzidae
Description: partial tRNA-Leu
Source: RNAcentral
AUGGAUUUAAGCUCCAUAUAUAAAGUGUUUAACUUUUAUUAGAA